CAUUUCUACUGGAGCGGAUCGGUGGUAGGAGCGGCGUAAGCGUAUUCCUUGGGGAGUUGAAUUUCAAACGCCAAGGGCGUAGAAUUUGGGAUUCUAGGGAGACUCUCAGUAAGUCAGGGUUGUUGGGCCCCUUUAUUCCGGAUCAGGGCAUUAGGCCGGCCAGUCGUACUACAGACGCGAUAUGUGAUAUGAUAUUUGAUCUAACCGGAUCGGCC
Molecule: long non-coding RNA, 215 nt
Organism: Malania oleifera
Lineage: Eukaryota; Viridiplantae; Streptophyta; Magnoliopsida; Santalales; Ximeniaceae
Exons: 3
Source: RefSeq, a predicted model, not a curated record